CCUACGGGGGGCUGCAGUGGGGAAUAUUGCACAAUGGGCGCAAGCCUGAUGCAGCCAUGCCGCGUGUGUGAAGAAGGCCUUCGGGUUGUAAAGCACUUUCAGCGGGGAGGAAGGCGUUAAGGUUAAUAACCUUGGCGAUUGACGUUACCCGCAGAAGAGGCACCGGCUAACUCCGUGCCAGCAGCCGCGGUAAUACGGAGGGUGCAAGCGUUAAUCGGAAUUACUGGGCGUAAAGCGCACGCAGGCGGUCUGUCAAGUCGGAUGUGAAAUCCCCGGGCUCAACCUGGGAACUGCAUUCGAAACUGGCAGGCUAGAGUCUUGUAGAGGGGGGUAGAAUUCCAGGUGUAGCGGUGAAAUGCGUAGAGAUCUGGAGGAAUACCGGUGGCGAAGGCGGCCCCCUGGACAAAGACUGACGCUCAGGUGCGAAAGCGUGGGGAGCAAACAGGAUUAGAUACCCCGGUAGUC
Molecule: ribosomal RNA, 465 nt
Filed under: uncultured Klebsiella sp.
Lineage: Bacteria; Pseudomonadati; Pseudomonadota; Gammaproteobacteria; Enterobacterales; Enterobacteriaceae
Description: bacterial SSU rRNA
Rfam family: Bacterial small subunit ribosomal RNA
Source: RNAcentral